Molecule: small nucleolar RNA, 91 nt
Organism: Labeo rohita (rohu)
Lineage: Eukaryota; Metazoa; Chordata; Actinopteri; Cypriniformes; Cyprinidae
Product: small nucleolar RNA SNORD60
Exons: 1
Source: RefSeq, a predicted model, not a curated record
AGCCGCUGAUGACUUCUACAAAAACACUUUUCUGACAUCUCUUAUGAGCGCUGCUUUACAGCAGCUGAUUAUAAAUUGUAGUCUGAGGCUC